Molecule: ribosomal RNA, 468 nt
Filed under: uncultured bacterium
Lineage: Bacteria
Description: partial 16S ribosomal RNA
Rfam family: Bacterial small subunit ribosomal RNA
Source: RNAcentral
GACGAACGCUGGCGGCGUGCUUAACACAUGCAAGUCGAACGGAAAGGCCCUGCUUUUGUGGGGUGCUCGAGUGGCGAACGGGUGAGUAACACGUGAGUAACCUGCCCUUGACUUUGGGAUAACUUCAGGAAACUGGGGCUAAUACCGGAUAGGAGCUCCUGCUGCAUGGGGGGGGUUGGAACGUUUCGGCGGUUGGGGCUGGACUCGCGGCUUAUCAGCUUGUUGGUGGGGUAGUGGCUUACCAAGGCUUUGACGGGUAGCCGGCCUGUGAGGGUGACCGGCCACAUUGGGACUGAGAUACGGCCCAGACUCCUACGGGAGGCAGCAGUGGGGAAUAUUGCACAAUGGGCGGAAGCCUGAUGCAGCAACGCCGCGUGCGGGAUGACGGCCUUCGGGUUGUAAACCGCUGUCGCCUGUGACGAAGCGUGAGUGACGGUAAUGGGUAAAGAAGCACCGGCUAACUACGUG